UUUAUUGGUGAUUUUUUGUAAUUAAAAGAAAUCAAAAUGGUCUGAUUUUUUUUUUCCUCCCAGAUUUGUUUUCCUACUUUCAGAUGGAAUGUAUUUCAAAAUCCAUAGUUUAGUCUUUCUCAGUGGUAAAAUUUGAAGCAAGUCUUUUUAAUGUAUGAUAUCAAAAACUAGAAUUUUCAAAAGAGAAAAAUAAAUAUUUUGUCCAGGACCUCAUUAAAUAUCUAGACCAAGGGUGGCACAUUCUUUUUUUUUUGGCACAGUAAAAUGAUACCUAACUUGGCUGGUUUCUUUCAUAUGAAAAGAAAAUCCAAAAGGUGCCAUUAAAAAGCAAUAUCAUUUUUCAGGCAACAGUUUUGCAACAACCUUUGGGAGAGGAAAGGACAUCA
Molecule: long non-coding RNA, 386 nt
Filed under: Bos taurus (domestic cattle)
Lineage: Eukaryota; Metazoa; Chordata; Mammalia; Artiodactyla; Bovidae
Description: long non-coding RNA NONBTAT019298
Source: RNAcentral